RNAcentral lists this ribosomal RNA (821 nucleotides) under uncultured archaeon. RNAcentral describes it as "bacterial SSU rRNA". It matches the Rfam family "Archaeal small subunit ribosomal RNA", at positions 30 to 828 of the family's 1478-position model. The record is from RNAcentral.
CAAAAAACCGUAUUGUCAAAUCCAUGCGAAGUCUUUGUAGUAUACAUGGCAGACGGCUCAGUAACGCGUAGUCCUUCUACCCUAUGGACGGGGAUAACCUCGGGAAACUGAGAAUCCUACCCGAUAGAACAUUAUGCCUGGAAUGGUUUAUGUUCCAAAUGAUUUAUCGCCGUAGGAUGGGACUGCGGCCUAUCAGUUUGUUGGUGAGGUAAUGGCCCACCAAGACUAUUACAGGUACGGGCUCUGAGAGGAGUGGCCCGGAGAUGGGUACUGAGACACGGACCCAGGCCCUAUGGGGCGCAGCAGGCGAGAAAACUUUGCAAUGUGCGAAAGCACGACAAGGUUAAUCCGAGUGGUUUCUGCUAAAGAAACCUUUUGUCGGUCCUAGAAACACCGAUGAAUAAGGGGUGGGCAAGUUCUGGUGUCAACCGCCGCGGAAAAACCAGCACCUCAAGUGGGUAGGAUGAUUAUUGGGCCUAAAGCAUCCGUAGCCAGCUCUGUUAGUUUUCAGUUAUAUCUGCUACGUUCAACGUACAGGCUGCCGGGAAUACUGCUAAGCUCGGGAGUGGGAGAUGUAGACGGUAUUCGGUAAGAAAGGAUAAAAUCCUUUGAUCUAAUUGAUGACCAACCUGUGGCGAAGGCGGCUCUUCCAGAACACCGCCCGACGGGUGACUUAUUAAAGCUUGGGGAACAAACCGGAAUAACAUACCCGGCUAGUCCCACCUGGUAACUCCUCCCUACCCAGUGAUCCCACUUGGCUCGUGGCCAAAGCCAGCGCUGCACCGGAACCCAGUAAAUCUACCGCCCUGUGCAAGUACCUU